AGAGUUUGAUCCUGGCUCAGGAUGAACGCCGGCGGUGUGCCUAAUACAUGCAAGUCGUACGCACUGGCCCAACUGAUUGAUGGUGCUUGCACCUGAUUGACGAUGGAUCACCAGUGAGUGGCGGACGGGUGAGUAACACGUAGGUAACCUGCCUCGGAGCGGGGGAUAACAUUUGGAAACAGAUGCUAAUACCGCAUAACAACAAAAGCCACAUGGCUUUUGUUUGAAAGAUGGCUUUGGCUAUCACUCUGGGAUGGACCUGCGGUGCAUUAGCUAGUUGGUAAGGUAACGGCUUACCAAGGCAAUGAUGCAUAGCCGAGUUGAGAGACUGAUCGACCACGAUGGAACUGAGACACGGUCCAUACUCCUACGGGAGGCAGCAGUAGGGAAUCUUCCACAAUGGGCGCAAGCCUGAUGGAGCAACACCGCGUGAGUGAAGAAGGGUUUCGGCUCGUAAAGCUCUGUUGUUGGAGAAGAACGUGCGUGAGAGUAACUGUUCACGCAGUGACGGUAUCCAACCAGAAAGUCACGGCUAACUACGUGCCAGCAGCCGCGGUAAUACGUAGGUGGCAAGCGUUAUCCGGAUUUAUUGGGCGUAAAGCGAGCGCAGGCGGUUGCUUAGGUCUGAUGUGAAAGCCUUCGGCUUAACCGAAGAAGUGCAUCGGAAACCGGGCGACUUGAGUGCAGAAGAGGACAGUGGAACUCCAUGUGUAGCGGUGGAAUGCGUAGAUAUAUGGAAGAACACCAGUGGCGAAGGCGGCUGUCUGGUCUGCAACUGACGCUGAGGCUCGAAAGCAUGGGUAGCGAACAGGAUUAGAUACCCUGGUAGUCCAUGCCGUAAACGAUGAGUGCUAGGUGUUGGAGGGUUUCCGCCCUUCAGUGCCGGAGCUAACGCAUUAAGCACUCCGCCUGGGGAGUACGACCGCAAGGUUGAAACUCAAAGGAAUUGACGGGGGCCCGCACAAGCGGUGGAGCAUGUGGUUUAAUUCGAAGCUACGCGAAGAACCUUACCAGGUCUUGACAUCUUGCGCUAACCUUAGAGAUAAGGCGUUCCCUUCGGGGACGCAAUGACAGGUGGUGCAUGGUCGUCGUCAGCUUGUGUCGUGAGAUGUUGGGUUAAGUCCCGCAACGAGCGCAACCCUUGCUACUAGUUGCCAGCAUUAAGUUGGGCACUCUAGUGAGACUGCCGGUGACAAACCGGAGGAAGGUGGGGACGACGUCAGAUCAUCAUGCCCCUUAUGACCUGGGCUACACACGUGCUACAAUGGACGGUACAACGAGUCGCAAGCUCGCGAGAGUAAGCUAAUCUCUUAAAGCCGUUCUCAGUUCGGACUGUAGGCUGCAACUCGCCUACACGAAGUCGGAAUCGCUAGUAAUCGCGGAUCAGCAUGCCGCGGUGAAUACGUUCCCGGGCCUUGCACACACCGCCCGUCA
This 1434-nucleotide ribosomal RNA is filed under the name uncultured bacterium. RNAcentral describes it as "bacterial SSU rRNA". It matches the Rfam family "Bacterial small subunit ribosomal RNA". The record is from RNAcentral.